Molecule: ribosomal RNA, 460 nt
Filed under: uncultured bacterium
Lineage: Bacteria
Description: partial 16S ribosomal RNA
Rfam family: Bacterial small subunit ribosomal RNA
Source: RNAcentral
CCUAAGGGUGGCUGCAGUGAGGAAUAUUGGUCAAUGGCCGGAAGGCUGAACCAGCCAUGCCGCGUGAAGGUCAGUGCCCUAUGGGCGUUAAACUUCUUUUGUGCGGGAGCAAUAAUGGUCACGUGUGGCCAGACGAGAGUACCGUACGAAUAAGCAUCGGCUAACUCCGUGCCAGCAGCCGCGGUAAUACGGGGGAUGCAAGCGUUAUCCGGAUUUAUUGGGUUUAAAGGGUGCGUAGGCUGUGAGGUAAGUCAGCGGUGAAAUGCCCCCGCUCGACGGGGUGAAGUGCCAUUGAUACUGCCUUGCUGGAAUGCGGAUGCCGUGGGAGGAAUGUGUGGUGUAGCGGUGAAAUGCAUAGAUAUCACACAGAACACCGAUUGCGAAGGCAUCUCACGAAUCCGCGAUUGACGCUGAUGCACGAAAGCGUGGGUAUCAAACAGGAUUAGAUACCCCAGUAGUC